This 70-nucleotide transfer RNA is filed under the name Pelecanus occidentalis. Its description in RNAcentral is "tRNA-Phe". It matches the Rfam family "tRNA". Rfam says of the family: Transfer RNA (tRNA) molecules are approximately 80 nucleotides in length. Their secondary structure includes four short double-helical elements and three loops (D, anti-codon, and T loops). Further hydrogen bonds mediate the characteristic L-shaped molecular structure. tRNAs have two regions of fundamental functional importance: the anti-codon, which is responsible for specific mRNA codon recognition, and the 3' end, to which the tRNAs corresponding amino acid is attached (by aminoacyl-tRNA synthetases). tRNAs cope with the degeneracy of the genetic code in two manners: having more than one tRNA (with a specific anti-codon) for a particular amino acid; and 'wobble' base-pairing, i.e. permitting non-standard base-pairing at the 3rd anti-codon position. The record is from RNAcentral. Lineage: Eukaryota; Metazoa; Chordata; Aves; Pelecaniformes; Pelecanidae.
GUCCCCGUAGCUUAAUGAUAAAAGCAUGGCACUGAAGAUGCCAAGAUGUUGCUGCACGCAUCCGAGGACA